This 64-nucleotide transfer RNA is filed under the name Sida crystallina. RNAcentral describes it as "tRNA-Tyr". It matches the Rfam family "tRNA". From Rfam's summary of the family: Transfer RNA (tRNA) molecules are approximately 80 nucleotides in length. Their secondary structure includes four short double-helical elements and three loops (D, anti-codon, and T loops). The record is from RNAcentral. Lineage: Eukaryota; Metazoa; Arthropoda; Branchiopoda; Diplostraca; Sididae.
AGUGUAAUGGCUGAUAAAAGUAUUAGAUUGUAAAUCUAAAUAUGAGAAACUUUCUCUUACACUA